GACGAACGCUGGCGGCGUGCUUAACACAUGCAAGUCGAACGGAAAGGCCCUGCUUUUGUGGGGUGCUCGAGUGGCGAAAGGGUGAGUAACACGUGAGUAACCUGCCCUUGACUUUGGGAUAACUUCAGGAAACUGGGGCUAAUACCGGAUAGGAGCUCGUGCUGCAUGGUGGGGGUUGGAAAAUUUCGGCGGUUGGGGAUGGACUCGCGGCUUAUCAGCUUGUUGGUGGGGUAGUGGCUUACCAAGGCUUUGACGGGUAGCCGGCCUGAGCGGGUGACCGGCCACAAUGGGACUGAGGUACGGCCCAGACUCCUACGGGAGGCAGCAGUGGGGAAUAUUGCACAAUGGGCGGAAGCCUGAUGCAGCAACGCCGCGUGCGGGAUGACGGCCUUCGGGUUGUAAACCGCUUUCGCCUGUGACGAAGCGUGAGUGACGGUAAUGGGUAAAGAAGCACCGGCUAACUACGUG
This 468-nucleotide ribosomal RNA is filed under the name uncultured bacterium. RNAcentral's name for it is "partial 16S ribosomal RNA". It matches the Rfam family "Bacterial small subunit ribosomal RNA", at positions 28 to 507 of the family's 1533-position model. The record is from RNAcentral.